AGAUAUCAUGGAUCAUUCAACAGCCGGUAUUCUGUUCCUUAAUUUGUCUAACCUUUGGUCUUGCAGAGCAUUCUCCGUUUCUUAUACGUGCCGGUACUAAGAGGCGACAUGUACACCAUACUUUUGUUGACCCCUUAAAUUGCUUCGUUCUUUGCCUGCGAAAUUCUAUGUGUUUGUGAGCUUCGACAGUUCAUCUUCCGCAAAUAUGGCCGACGACAUUCUUUCCACGGUCCUCUCCUACGCCGGCUGGGCAUUUCUCCCAAGAUAUGUGACCUCCUUCCUCCAGAACAUCUACUACCGCAUCACCAUUCGCGCCGGCGACCCUCAUCCCUCUCCCUCCAGCCCCCGCUACGCCCGCCACUACCGAAGAAUCUACAUCGUCGUCAUAGCCUCCUACCUCCUCUACACCCUUUACGAAACAUACCACAAACUCCGCGUAGAGGGCGACUUUUACCAACUGCUAGGGGUGCUCCCGACAUCGAACGAUCGCACUAUCAAAUCCCGCUUCCGUCGCCUAGCCGCCCUACAUCACCCGGACAAGCGCCAAAGCCAGCAGUACAUUCUCAACAGCGAUGGUGAUGGCUAUGAAUCGCCCGACGCGCUCUUUGUGCAGCUGAGGCUGGCACAGGACACGCUGCUGGAUCCCGUCAAGCGAUUUGCGUACGAUCGGUUUGGGCAGGCGGUGGUGGAAGGGUCGAAGGCGAAGACGAUGGGCGAGUUUCUGUUUGCGGGAUUGCGGGUGCUGUUGCCCCAAUACAUAGGCGGGUUUAUCGUGAUGGUGCUGAUGAAUCUGUUCUGGCUCUCUGCUUGGGGUCGAUAUUGGCGCUUCUACAUCUCCUUCGCUCUCCUCACCCUCGAACUGGCUCUCCUCACCCAUCAAAACGGCACCUUCAUUCCAGCCUCCCACUUCCCUACCUGGCUUUCUACCCUCCUCCACCUCGACGCCUUCUACCUCCUCCCCUUCCAAAGCCUCAUCCUAGCCCGCAACGCCUCCAUGACGCUAAACAUUUUCAUCUCCCAUCUGACACCACCAGACUCUUCCUCUUCAUCAUCCUCGUCAAGGUCAGCGUCGGCCGGAAAUGGCGGCUUAACCCCCCAGACUCAGGCGCAGCUGACGCAGCUGGUGAAUCUGGCGCGGGCGAAUGAGGCUGAGGUGACGAGGCUGUUGCAACUGGGGCUGGUGCCGUUCAAAGGGGAUGAGGAGAGUGCGGGGAAGUUGCGGAGGGG
This 1227-nucleotide small RNA is filed under the name Histoplasma capsulatum var. duboisii H88. RNAcentral describes it as "Histoplasma capsulatum H88 hypothetical RNA". The record is from RNAcentral. Lineage: Eukaryota; Fungi; Ascomycota; Eurotiomycetes; Onygenales; Ajellomycetaceae.